GGAUGCGAUCAUAACAGCACUAAAGCACCGGAUCCCAUUAGAACUCCGAAGUUAAGCGUGCUUGGGCGAGAGUAGAACUAGGAUGGGUGACCUCCUGGGAAGUCCUCAUGUUGCAUUCC
This 119-nucleotide ribosomal RNA is filed under the name Hordeum vulgare subsp. vulgare (domesticated barley). The record is from RNAcentral. Lineage: Eukaryota; Viridiplantae; Streptophyta; Magnoliopsida; Poales; Poaceae.